CGCGGGAUGGAGCAGUCUGGUAGCUCGUCGGGCUCAUAACCCGAAGGUCGUAUGUUCAAAUCCUGCUCCCGCAA
RNAcentral lists this transfer RNA (74 nucleotides) under Enterococcus faecium. RNAcentral describes it as "tRNA-Met". It matches the Rfam family "tRNA". From Rfam's summary of the family: Transfer RNA (tRNA) molecules are approximately 80 nucleotides in length. Their secondary structure includes four short double-helical elements and three loops (D, anti-codon, and T loops). Further hydrogen bonds mediate the characteristic L-shaped molecular structure. tRNAs have two regions of fundamental functional importance: the anti-codon, which is responsible for specific mRNA codon recognition, and the 3' end, to which the tRNAs corresponding amino acid is attached (by aminoacyl-tRNA synthetases). tRNAs cope with the degeneracy of the genetic code in two manners: having more than one tRNA (with a specific anti-codon) for a particular amino acid; and 'wobble' base-pairing, i.e. permitting non-standard base-pairing at the 3rd anti-codon position. Lineage: Bacteria; Bacillati; Bacillota; Bacilli; Lactobacillales; Enterococcaceae. The record is from RNAcentral.